RNAcentral lists this ribosomal RNA (254 nucleotides) under Paraglomus brasilianum. The record is from RNAcentral. Lineage: Eukaryota; Fungi; Glomeromycota; Glomeromycetes; Paraglomerales; Paraglomeraceae.
CAGUCGCGUUCUCUGGGAUUCAGCCUUGCUUCUGCUUGGUGCAUUUCCUAGUCUACGGGCCAGCAUGAGUUUUGACCGUUGGAAAAAGGCAGGGGGAAUGUGGCACCUCCGGGUGUGUUAUAGCCCCUUGUCACACACGGCGGUUGGGAUUGAGGAUUCAGUGCACGCUUCUGUUGUGCUUUGAUGCUGGCGUAAUGGCUUUAAACGACCCGUCUUGAAACACGGACCAAGGAUCUAGCAUAUAUGCGAGUGUU